GACGGGGCCCGCACAAGCGGCGGAGCAUGCGGAUUAAUUCGAUGCAACGCGAAGAACUUACCAAGGCUUGACAUACACCGGUAACGCCCAGAGAUGGGUGCCCCUUUGUGGUCGGUGUACAGGUGGUGCAUGGUUGUCGUCAGCUCGUGUCGUGAGAUGUUGGGUUAAGUCCCGCAACGAGCGCAACCCUCGUCCUAUGUUGCCAGCGGGUCAUGCCGGGGACUCAUGGGGGACUGCCGGGGUCAACUCGGAGGAAGGUGGGGAUGACGUCAAAUCAUCAUGCCCCUUAUGUCUUGGGCUUCACACGUCAUACAAUGGUCGGUACAGAGGGUUGCCAAGCCGCGAGGUGGAGCCAAUCCCUUAAAGCCGAUCGUAGUCCGGAUCGUAGUCUGCAACUCGACUACGUGAAGUCGGAAUCGCUAGUAAUCGCAGAUCAGCAUGCUGCGGUGAAUACGUUCCCGGGUCUU
Molecule: ribosomal RNA, 467 nt
Filed under: uncultured Curtobacterium sp.
Lineage: Bacteria; Bacillati; Actinomycetota; Actinomycetes; Micrococcales; Microbacteriaceae
Description: bacterial SSU rRNA
Rfam family: Bacterial small subunit ribosomal RNA
Source: RNAcentral